This 460-nucleotide ribosomal RNA is filed under the name uncultured bacterium. RNAcentral's name for it is "partial 16S ribosomal RNA". It matches the Rfam family "Bacterial small subunit ribosomal RNA", at positions 338 to 795 of the family's 1533-position model. The record is from RNAcentral.
CCUACGGGAGGCAGCAGUGAGGAAUAUUGGUCAAUGGGCGCGAGCCUGAACCAGCCAAGUCGCGUGAGGGAAGACGGCCCUACGGGUUGUAAACCUCUUUGGCCGGGGAGCAACAGUCGCCACGUGUAGCGCCACUGAGAGUACCCGGCGAAAAAGCCUCGGCUCACUCCGUGCCAGCAGCCGCGGUAAUAAGUAGGAUGCGAGCGUGAUCCAGAUGUAUUGGUGUUAAAGGGUGCGUAGGCGGAGCGGUAAGUCAGUGGUAACAUUGAGGGGCUCAACCCCUUCCCGCCAUUGAAACUGGCGCUCUUGAGUGGAAGAGUAGUAUGCGGAAUGCGUGGGGUAGCGGUGACAUGCAUAGCUAUCACGCAGAACCCCGAUUGCGAAGGCAGCAUGCCGGCUUCCGACUGACGCUGAAGCACGAAAGCGUGGGGAUCGAACAGGAUUAGAUACCCCAGUAGUC